RNAcentral lists this ribosomal RNA (2902 nucleotides) under Escherichia coli. RNAcentral describes it as "23S ribosomal RNA". It matches the Rfam family "Bacterial large subunit ribosomal RNA". The record is from RNAcentral. Lineage: Bacteria; Pseudomonadati; Pseudomonadota; Gammaproteobacteria; Enterobacterales; Enterobacteriaceae.
UUAAGCGACUAAGCGUACACGGUGGAUGCCCUGGCAGUCAGAGGCGAUGAAGGACGUGCUAAUCUGCGAUAAGCGUCGGUAAGGUGAUAUGAACCGUUAUAACCGGCGAUUUCCGAAUGGGGAAACCCAGUGUGUUUCGACACACUAUCAUUAACUGAAUCCAUAGGUUAAUGAGGCGAACCGGGGGAACUGAAACAUCUAAGUACCCCGAGGAAAAGAAAUCAACCGAGAUUCCCCCAGUAGCGGCGAGCGAACGGGGAGGAGCCCAGAGCCUGAAUCAGUGUGUGUGUUAGUGGAAGCGUCUGGAAAGGCGCGCGAUACAGGGUGACAGCCCCGUACACAAAAAUGCACAUGCUGUGAGCUCGAUGAGUAGGGCGGGACACGUGGUAUCCUGUCUGAAUAUGGGGGGACCAUCCUCCAAGGCUAAAUACUCCUGACUGACCGAUAGUGAACCAGUACCGUGAGGGAAAGGCGAAAAGAACCCCGGCGAGGGGAGUGAAAAAGAACCUGAAACCGUGUACGUACAAGCAGUGGGAGCCUCUUAAUGGGGUGACUGCGUACCUUUUGUAUAAUGGGUCAGCGACUUAUAUUCUGUAGCAAGGUUAACCGAAUAGGGGAGCCGAAGGGAAACCGAGUCUUAACUGGGCGUUAAGUUGCAGGGUAUAGACCCGAAACCCGGUGAUCUAGCCAUGGGCAGGUUGAAGGUUGGGUAACACUAACUGGAGGACCGAACCGACUAAUGUUGAAAAAUUAGCGGAUGACUUGUGGCUGGGGGUGAAAGGCCAAUCAAACCGGGAGAUAGCUGGUUCUCCCCGAAAGCUAUUUAGGUAGCGCCUCGUGAAUUCAUCUCCGGGGGUAGAGCACUGUUUCGGCAAGGGGGUCAUCCCGACUUACCAACCCGAUGCAAACUGCGAAUACCGGAGAAUGUUAUCACGGGAGACACACGGCGGGUGCUAACGUCCGUCGUGAAGAGGGAAACAACCCAGACCGCCAGCUAAGGUCCCAAAGUCAUGGUUAAGUGGGAAACGAUGUGGGAAGGCCCAGACAGCCAGGAUGUUGGCUUAGAAGCAGCCAUCAUUUAAAGAAAGCGUAAUAGCUCACUGGUCGAGUCGGCCUGCGCGGAAGAUGUAACGGGGCUAAACCAUGCACCGAAGCUGCGGCAGCGACGUUUAUGCGUUGUUGGGUAGGGGAGCGUUCUGUAAGCCUGCGAAGGUGUACUGUGAGGUAUGCUGGAGGUAUCAGAAGUGCGAAUGCUGACAUAAGUAACGAUAAAGCGGGUGAAAAGCCCGCUCGCCGGAAGACCAAGGGUUCCUGUCCAACGUUAAUCGGGGCAGGGUGAGUCGACCCCUAAGGCGAGGCCGAAAGGCGUAGUCGAUGGGAAACAGGUUAAUAUUCCUGUACUUGGUGUUACUGCGAAGGGGGGACGGAGAAGGCUAUGUUGGCCGGGCGACGGUUGUCCCGGUUUAAGCGUGUAGGCUGGUUUUCCAGGCAAAUCCGGAAAAUCAAGGCUGAGGCGUGAUGACGAGGCACUACGGUGCUGAAGCAACAAAUGCCCUGCUUCCAGGAAAAGCCUCUAAGCAUCAGGUAACAUCAAAUCGUACCCCAAACCGACACAGGUGGUCAGGUAGAGAAUACCAAGGCGCUUGAGAGAACUCGGGUGAAGGAACUAGGCAAAAUGGUGCCGUAACUUCGGGAGAAGGCACGCUGAUAUGUAGGUGAAGUCCCUCGCGGAUGGAGCUGAAAUCAGUCGAAGAUACCAGCUGGCUGCAACUGUUUAUUAAAAACACAGCACUGUGCAAACACGAAAGUGGACGUAUACGGUGUGACGCCUGCCCGGUGCCGGAAGGUUAAUUGAUGGGGUUAGCGGUAACGCGAGGCUCUUGAUCGAAGCCCCGGUAAACGGCGGCCGUAACUAUAACGGUCCUAAGGUAGCGAAAUUCCUUGUCGGGUAAGUUCCGACCUGCACGAAUGGCGUAAUGAUGGCCAGGCUGUCUCCACCCGAGACUCAGUGAAAUUGAACUCGCUGUGAAGAUGCAGUGUACCCGCGGCAAGACGGAAAGACCCCGUGAACCUUUACUAUAGCUUGACACUGAACAUUGAGCCUUGAUGUGUAGGAUAGGUGGGAGGCUUUGAAGUGUGGACGCCAGUCUGCAUGGAGCCGACCUUGAAAUACCACCCUUUAAUGUUUGAUGUUCUAACGUUGGCCCCUUACCGGGGUUGCGGACAGUGUCUGGUGGGUAGUUUGACUGGGGCGGUCUCCUCCUAAAGAGUAACGGAGGAGCACGAAGGUUGGCUAAUCCUGGUCGGACAUCAGGAGGUUAGUGCAAUGGCAUAAGCCAGCUUGACUGCGAGCGUGACGGCGCGAGCAGGUGCGAAAGCAGGUCAUAGUGAUCCGGUGGUUCUGAAUGGAAGGGCCAUCGCUCAACGGAUAAAAGGUACUCCGGGGAUAACAGGCUGAUACCGCCCAAGAGUUCAUAUCGACGGCGGUGUUUGGCACCUCGAUGUCGGCUCAUCACAUCCUGGGGCUGAAGUAGGUCCCAAGGGUAUGGCUGUUCGCCAUUUAAAGUGGUACGCGAGCUGGGUUUAGAACGUCGUGAGACAGUUCGGUCCCUAUCUGCCGUGGGCGCUGGAGAACUGAGGGGGGCUGCUCCUAGUACGAGAGGACCGGAGUGGACGCAUCACUGGUGUUCGGGUUGUCAUGCCAAUGGCACUGCCCGGUAGCUAAAUGCGGAAGAGAUAAGUGCUGAAAGCAUCUAAGCACGAAACUUGCCCCGAGAUGAGUUCUCCCUGACUCUUUAAGGGUCCUGAAGGAACGUUGAAGACGACGACGUUGAUAGGCCGGGUGUGUAAGCGCAGCGAUGCGUUGAGCUAACCGGUACUAAUGAACCGUGAGGCUUAACCU